Molecule: transfer RNA, 62 nt
Filed under: Olea europaea subsp. cuspidata
Lineage: Eukaryota; Viridiplantae; Streptophyta; Magnoliopsida; Lamiales; Oleaceae
Description: transfer RNA-Ala
Rfam family: tRNA
About the family: Transfer RNA (tRNA) molecules are approximately 80 nucleotides in length.
Source: RNAcentral
UCAGUUGGUAGAGCUCCGCUCUUGCAAGGCGGAUGUCAGCGGUUCGAGUCCGCUUAUCUCCA